This 405-nucleotide ribosomal RNA is filed under the name Triticum aestivum (bread wheat). RNAcentral's name for it is "partial small subunit ribosomal RNA". The record is from RNAcentral. Lineage: Eukaryota; Viridiplantae; Streptophyta; Magnoliopsida; Poales; Poaceae.
AUGUAUGAAAACAAAGUAUGGACUUUGACAGACUUGCCCGAUGAUCGGCGAGCGAUAGAAAAUAAAUGGAUCUUUAAGAAGAAGACGGACGCGGGUGGUAAUGUUACCAUCUAUAAAGCUCGACUUGUCGCUAAGGGUUAUCGACAAGUUCAAGGGGUUGACUACGAUGAGACCUUCUCACCCGUAGCGAAGCUUAAGUCCGUCCGAAUCAUGUUAGCAAUUGCCGCAUUCUACGAUUAUGAGAUAUGGCAAAUGGACGUCAAAACGGCAUUCCUUAACGGCUUUCUUAAGGAAGAAUUGUAUAUGAUGCAGCCGGAAGGUUUUGUCGAUCCUAAGAAUGCUAACAAGGUAUGCAAGCUCCAGCUCUCCAUCUAUGGGCUGGUGCAAGCAUCUCGGAGUUGGAAC